Ficedula albicollis (Collared flycatcher) is the source of this 433-nucleotide long non-coding RNA. RefSeq lists it as uncharacterized. The record is from RefSeq and is a predicted model, not a curated record. The transcript is spliced from 3 exons. NCBI's taxonomy places the organism in Eukaryota, Metazoa, Chordata, Aves, Passeriformes, Muscicapidae.
ACGCGCUGCUCUACGGCACCAGCCCCCUGAACCGCCAGAAACUGGACAGCAAGAAGCUGCUGGGUCCCAUCACUCCGAAGACGUACGCGGUGCUGCCGUGCGGGGGCAUCGGGGUGGACAGUGACACGGUGUGGAACGAGCUGCACUCGUCCAGCGCCGUGCGCACGGCCGUGGGCUGCCUGCUGGAGCUGGCCUUCAAGGUGGCCGCGGGGGAGGUCAAGGUGAGGUGGCACUGGCACCGUCACCGUGCCCCCUGCGGUGUCCCCGUCUGUCCCGUGUGUGUCCCAGUGCCACCCGUGUCACCGUGCCCCCUGCGGUGUCCCUGUCUGUCCCGUGUGUGUCCCAGUGCCACCAGUGUCACUGUGCCCCCUGCGGUGUCCCGGUCUGUAUGUGUGUGUCCCAGUGCCACCCGUGUCACCGUGCCCCCUGCGGU